UUACGGGAAGAAAGGAAAUAGCUUGGUCAUUGAGGCUGAAAAGAGCUACAUCAGCACUGUAGUGGUCAAGGCUGUGGCAGGGAACGAUGGCAAGUGCAAGUGUGGAGAUAGCUGCAGCUGCACAAACUGCACAUGUGGCACUCAUUAAGUAGACAUAGAACCAUGAUGUUUUAGUCCAUAGCAAUAUUAGGACCUAAAAAUAAUGAAAUUGAGUUGAAUAAAUUGGUGUUUUGUUGUUGUAGUUUGAGACAUUGAGUGCGUUUUCAUGCCUGUUUGUCUUAUGUCUGAGUCUCAUUGUACACUAUGAUGGAAUGGUCAUAUCUAUGGACUUCGUAUGAUUAAUGAAUUAUUAUCAGUUUAAA
Molecule: long non-coding RNA, 362 nt
Organism: Gossypium raimondii (Peruvian cotton)
Lineage: Eukaryota; Viridiplantae; Streptophyta; Magnoliopsida; Malvales; Malvaceae
Exons: 2
Source: RefSeq, a predicted model, not a curated record